GGCGAGUACUGCUCCAAGAUAUGGCAACCGUGACAGCUUUGCGAGUAGCUCCAGGUCCCCUGCUGCUCCGUGAGAAAUCAAACUUCUGGCAAUGACGAAGCAUGAAGCCAGCAUCUCAGGGAGAGGUGAGAAAACUGACACUUGGAGAGGUAGAGUAGCUUUAUUUACUUCACACAAGCUUUUGAUGAAUUUCAAGUCUCAACCUAGAAGUCUUCCUCUAAGGUUCGUGCUUUCACGCACCUGUAAUUCAAAUACUGAUGAAAACAAAACUAUUGCCCUCCUACCAAAUGGUAACAAUGGAAAUUAAUGUUAUGACUGGAUAAGACAAUUGUGAAGAAACUGCACUUCGAGGUUGUCUGUCUCCGUAUUCCGAUGGAAAAGGCUGGACUUUAGAAGCAUUGCUCGCUCCUUCAGUUUCUAACAAGCCAGUUCUUGGAGAUACUAGGAAGCCAAGAGUUUCCUCCAGGAAUGGAGAUUCCUUGGAAGUGAGGUUCACCUUGAGUCAAGAAAGACGAAUCACACACGGUCAAAGGCAAUUGCCCAGGGUCUCAAGAACAGAGCCAGAAAGAAGAGCUGGGGCCGGCGGGAUUGUGGGGGUCCUCUCUCCCACCUGAAAAGCUACAGCUGCCUGCCGAUCCUCUCAAGAGGAGACCUCUCUGGGCUCCAGCACCUAAAACAGACAAACCUGGGAGGAUGCUUCUCUCUUCUGUGUCACACGUGUCCUGGAGAAAACCCAUGUAUCUGAAUGACCAAAGAAAAGUAUGAGAAAAAGUGCAAAAUCUGUGCCAGGCCAUUCAGUGUCUGGCUGGGGCUCUGGGGUGCACAUGCAUUCCAAGAAGACUGAAGGGUGCCAAGCCUGCAGGAAAUGUCCAUCAGACCUGCCUCUCACACCUGGAGUAGGACUGCCCGUCCAGCUUCAUGAUGCAGAACUGUCUUUAAAAGGUGACUGCAGAUAUGGAGAGAGGGAAUUCUAACCCUGAUAGAACAUGACCAGCUGUCCUGCUGGGGAAAGCUGCAUCUACCAGUGACACGCUGCUCAAACUGGCCCAGGACACACUCUUACUACUUAAGGAAUAAGCCCCACAUUUGCUCUUUGUGGGUAAAAGGAGAGGGUGAGAGAGGAGGGGAGUGUCCGCACAGACAUGAGAAGCCUGCAGAUCCAGAUGACCCCUUGCUGAUCAGAAUAUGAAAGAUCGAUAUGCGGAAACAAUGACCCCAUAGCAGAUGAGCUUCUAGAGCAGGCUUCAACCAUGGGUCAUCUGGACCCACUGGUGGAGAAGUCUGCCCCCACUCUAUGUUGAUGGUCUGGGGGAUACCAUUACUGAGACAGAUUUAAGAAAUAAUCUCUACCUGUUGGCGAAAUCUGGAUGGUCACUUGUGCGAGACAGCAGUGUGCUCUCAUCAGCUUUCCACAGGGCAGGCUGCGGAAAUGGUGCUGAGAAGUCCUUUUGUAAAUUGAUUGUCCAUGGCUGCAGACUUACCAUCAAA
Molecule: long non-coding RNA, 1488 nt
Filed under: Homo sapiens (human)
Lineage: Eukaryota; Metazoa; Chordata; Mammalia; Primates; Hominidae
Description: HSALNT0341024
Source: RNAcentral